Molecule: transfer RNA, 76 nt
Filed under: Cyanobacteria bacterium FACHB-472
Lineage: Bacteria; Bacillati; Cyanobacteriota
Description: tRNA-Asn
Rfam family: tRNA
About the family: Transfer RNA (tRNA) molecules are approximately 80 nucleotides in length.
Source: RNAcentral
UCCGCGAUCGCUCAAGUGGUAGAGUCCGUAGCUGUUAACUACGGCGUUGUAGGUUCGAGUCCUACUCCCGGAGCCA